This 94-nucleotide transfer RNA is filed under the name Methylibium petroleiphilum. RNAcentral's name for it is "tRNA-Ser". It matches the Rfam family "tRNA". From Rfam's summary of the family: Transfer RNA (tRNA) molecules are approximately 80 nucleotides in length. Their secondary structure includes four short double-helical elements and three loops (D, anti-codon, and T loops). Further hydrogen bonds mediate the characteristic L-shaped molecular structure. tRNAs have two regions of fundamental functional importance: the anti-codon, which is responsible for specific mRNA codon recognition, and the 3' end, to which the tRNAs corresponding amino acid is attached (by aminoacyl-tRNA synthetases). tRNAs cope with the degeneracy of the genetic code in two manners: having more than one tRNA (with a specific anti-codon) for a particular amino acid; and 'wobble' base-pairing, i.e. permitting non-standard base-pairing at the 3rd anti-codon position. RNAcentral also lists the same sequence under 8 other names. The record is from RNAcentral. Lineage: Bacteria; Pseudomonadati; Pseudomonadota; Betaproteobacteria; Burkholderiales; Sphaerotilaceae.
GGAGUCGUGACCGAGAGGCCGAAGGUGCUCCCCUGCUAAGGGAGUAUGUGAGCUAAAACUUGCAUCGAGGGUUCGAAUCCCUCCGACUCCGCCA